RNAcentral lists this ribosomal RNA (464 nucleotides) under uncultured bacterium. Its description in RNAcentral is "SSU rRNA". It matches the Rfam family "Bacterial small subunit ribosomal RNA", at positions 26 to 521 of the family's 1533-position model. The record is from RNAcentral.
AGAAUCAACGCUGGCGGCGCGCUUAACACAUGCAAGUCGAGCGAGAAAGGGGAGCAAUCCCUGAGUAAAGCGGCGUACGGGUGAGUAACACGUGGAUGAUCUACCUUUUAGUGGGGAAUAACUCUGGGAAACCGGAGCUAAUACCGCAUAAUCCUGUGAGGGGAAAGCAGCAAUGCGCUGAAAGAGGAGUCCGCGGCCGAUUAGCUAGUUGGUAGGGUAAAGGCCUACCAAGGCGAUGAUCGGUAGCCGGCCUGAGAGGGCACACGGCCACACUGGCACUGAAACACGGGCCAGACUCCUACGGGAGGCAGCAGUGGGGAAUCUUGCACAAUGGAGGCAACUCUGAUGCAGCGACGCCGCGUGAGCGAUGAAGCCCCUCGGGGUGUAAAGCUCUUUCGGCUAGGGACGAUAAUGACGGUACCUGAAGAAGAAGCUGCGGCUAACUACGUGCCAGCAGCCGCGGU